RNAcentral lists this ribosomal RNA (253 nucleotides) under uncultured bacterium. RNAcentral describes it as "partial 16S ribosomal RNA". It matches the Rfam family "Bacterial small subunit ribosomal RNA", at positions 524 to 776 of the family's 1533-position model. The record is from RNAcentral.
UACAGAGGGGGCAAGCGUUAUUCGGAAUUAUUGGGCGUAAAGGGCGCGUAGGCGGCCGGACAAGUGGAAGGUGAAAUCCCCGAGCUCAACUCGGGAACUGCCCUCCAAACUGUUUGGCUUGAGUCCGGGAGAGGGAUGCGGAAUUCCAGGUGUAGCGGUGAAAUGCGUAGAUAUCUGGAGGAACACCGGUGGCGAAGGCGGCAUCCUGGACCGGCAUUGACGCUGAGGCGCGAAAGCCAGGGGAGCAAACGGG